This 564-nucleotide ribosomal RNA is filed under the name uncultured bacterium. RNAcentral describes it as "bacterial SSU rRNA". It matches the Rfam family "Bacterial small subunit ribosomal RNA", at positions 338 to 916 of the family's 1533-position model. The record is from RNAcentral.
CCUACGGGAGGCAGCAGUGGGGAAUCUUGCGCAAUGGGCGAAAGCCUGACGCAGCAACGCCGCGUGCGGGAAGAAGGCUCUCGGGUUGUAAACCGCUUUCAGCAGGAACGAAAAUGACGGUACCUGCAGAAGAAGGUGCGGCCAACUACGUGCCAGCAGCCGCGGUGACACGUAGGCACCAAGCGUUGUCCGGAUUUAUUGGGCGUAAAGAGCUCGUAGGCGGUUCGGUAAGUCAGGUGUGAAAACUUUGGGCUUAACCCAAAGCGUGCAUCUGAUACUGCUGUGACUAGAGUUCGGUAGGGGAGUGGGGAAUUCCUAGUGUAGCGGUGAAAUGCGCAGAUAUUAGGAGGAACACCGGUGGCGAAGGCGCCACUCUGGGCCGAAACUGACGCUGAGGAGCGAAAGCGUGGGUAGCAAACAGGAUUAGAUACCCUGGUAGUCCACGCCGUAAACGUUGGGCACUAGGUGUGGGUUUCAACCAACGAAAUCCGCGCCGUCGCUAACGCAUUAAGUGCCCCGCCUGGGGAGUACGGCCGCAAGGUUAAAACUCAAAGGAAUUGACGG